CCUACGGGUGGCAGCAGUAGGGAAUAUUGCUCAAUGGGGGAAACCCUGAAGCAGCAAAGCCGCGUGGAGGCUGAAGGUUUUCGGAUUGUAAACUCGUUUUUUUAGAGAAGUUAAUGACGGUAUCUAACGAAUAAGCACCGGCUAAGUCCGUCGCAGCAGCCGGGGUAAAACGGAGGGUGCCUGCGUUACUCGGAAUCACUGUGCGUAAAGGGGGCGUAGGCGGGAUGGCAAGUCAGAUGUGAAAUCCUAUGGUGUAAACAUAGACCUGCAUUUGAAACUGUUAUUCUAGAGUAGGGGAGAGGUAGGUGGAAUUCGUGGUGUAGGGGUAAAAUCCGUAGAGAUCAAGAGGAAUACUGAUUGCGAAGGCGACCUGCUAGAACAUAACUGACGCUGAUGCGCGAAAGCGUGGGGAGCAAACAGGAUUAGAUACCCCAGUAGUC
RNAcentral lists this ribosomal RNA (440 nucleotides) under uncultured bacterium. RNAcentral's name for it is "partial 16S ribosomal RNA". It matches the Rfam family "Bacterial small subunit ribosomal RNA", at positions 338 to 795 of the family's 1533-position model. The record is from RNAcentral.